Molecule: ribosomal RNA, 222 nt
Filed under: Triticum aestivum (bread wheat)
Lineage: Eukaryota; Viridiplantae; Streptophyta; Magnoliopsida; Poales; Poaceae
Description: partial small subunit ribosomal RNA
Source: RNAcentral
AUGGCCAUCCGCAACCUCGCCGCCGCAGAGGCCAUCCGCCAGGCCGUCCUCGCCGAGACCCCCGGCGCGAGCGUGGAGGUGAUGGAGCUGGACCUCUCCUUGUUGGAAUCUGUCCGCAAGUUCGCGCCGACUUCGCCGCCAGUGGCCUCCCGCUCAACAUCCUCAUGUAAGGCAGCCCUACUUCUCGCUUCUACUAGUCCCAAUCAUGUGAAAAGCACUUGA